RNAcentral lists this ribosomal RNA (490 nucleotides) under uncultured bacterium. RNAcentral describes it as "partial 16S ribosomal RNA". It matches the Rfam family "Bacterial small subunit ribosomal RNA", at positions 30 to 507 of the family's 1533-position model. The record is from RNAcentral.
AUUGAACGCUGGCGGCAGGCCUAACACAUGCAAGUCGAACGGUAACAGGAAGAAGCUUGCUUCUUUGCUGACGAGUGGCGGACGGGUGAGUAAUGUCUGGGAAACUGCCUGAUGGAGGGGGAUAACUACUGGAAACGGUAGCUAAUACCGCAUAACGUCGCAAGACCAAAGAGGGGGACCUUCGGGCCUCUUGCCAUCGGAUGUGCCCAGAUGGGAUUAGCUAGUAGGUGGGGUAACGGCUCACCUAGGCGACGAUCCCUAGCUGGUCUGAGAGGAUGACCAGCCACACUGGAACUCAGACACGGUCCAGACUCCUACGGGAGGCAGCAGUGGGGAAUAUUGCACAAUGGGCGCAAGCCUGCUGCAGCCAUGCCGCGUGUAUGAAGAAGGCCUUCGGGUUGUAAAGUACUUUCAGCGGGGAGGAAGGGAGUAAAGUUAAUACCUUUGCUCAUUGACGUUACCCGCAGAAGAAGCACCGGCUAACUCCGUG